GUGAGGAAUAUUGCGCAAUGGAGGCAACUCUGACGCAGCCAUGCCGCGUGCAGGAAGAAGGCGCUACGCGUUGUAAACUGCUUUUAACCGGGAAGAAACCCCAGGACGUGUCCUGGGUUGACGGUACCGGAGGAAUAAGCACCGGCUAACUUCGUGCCAGCAGCCGCGGUAAUACGAAGGGUGCAAGCGUUAUCCGGAUUCAUUGGGUUUAAAGGGUGCGUAGGCGGAGCGUUAAGUCAGUGGUGAAAUCCUGCAGCUUAACUGUAGGCUUGCCAGUGAUACUGGCGCUCUUGAGUGCGCUUGAAGUGGGCGGAAUGUGCCGUGUAGCGGUGAAAUGCUUAGAUAUGGCACAGAACACCAAUUGCGAAGGCAGCUCACUAAGGCGAUACUGACGCUGAGGCACGAAAGCGUGGGGAUCGAACAGGAUUAGAAACCCUGGUAGUCC
Molecule: ribosomal RNA, 445 nt
Filed under: uncultured bacterium
Lineage: Bacteria
Description: partial 16S ribosomal RNA
Rfam family: Bacterial small subunit ribosomal RNA
Source: RNAcentral